AUUGAACGCUGGCGGCAUGCCUUACACAUGCAAGUCGAACGGCAGCACGGGAGCAAUCCUGGUGGCGAGUGGCGAACGGGUGAGUAAUGUAUCGGAACGUACCUUUCAGUGGGGGAUAACGUAGCGAAAGUUACGCUAAUACCGCAUAUUCUGUGAGCAGGAAAGCAGGGGAUCGCAAGACCUUGCGCUGAUUGAGCGGCCGAUAUCAGAUUAGCUAGUUGGUGAGGUAAAGGCUCACCAAGGCGACGAUCUGUAGCGGGUCUGAGAGGAUGAUCCGCCACACUGGAACUGAGACACGGUCCAGACUCCUACGGAGGCAGCAGUGGGGAAUUUUGGACAAUGGGCGCAAGCCUGAUCCAGCCAUGCCGCGUGAGUGAAGAAAGGCCUUCGGGUUGUAAAGACUCUUUCGGUCCGGGACGGAAAUCGCAUGGGUUAAGUUAACCCUAGUGUCGGAUGACGGUACCGGCCGAUAAGAAGCACGGCUAACUACG
Molecule: ribosomal RNA, 491 nt
Filed under: uncultured bacterium
Lineage: Bacteria
Description: bacterial SSU rRNA
Rfam family: Bacterial small subunit ribosomal RNA
Source: RNAcentral